UACAGAGGUCUCAAGCGUUGUUCGGAUUCAUUGGGCGUAAAGGGUGCGUAGGCGGCGCGGUAAGUCGGGUGUGAAAUCUCGGAGCUUAACUCCGAAACUGCAUUCGAUACUGCCGUGCUUGAGGACUGGAGAGGAGACUGGAAUUUACGGUGUAGCGGUGAAAUGCGUAGAUAUCGUAAGGAAGACCAGUGGCGAAGGCGACCAUCUGGACGGAUACUGACGCUGAGACGCGAAAGCGUGGGGAGCAAACAGG
This 253-nucleotide ribosomal RNA is filed under the name uncultured bacterium. RNAcentral describes it as "partial 16S ribosomal RNA". It matches the Rfam family "Bacterial small subunit ribosomal RNA", at positions 524 to 776 of the family's 1533-position model. The record is from RNAcentral.